RNAcentral lists this unclassified non-coding RNA (449 nucleotides) under uncultured fungus. RNAcentral describes it as "partial contains small subunit ribosomal RNA, internal transcribed spacer 1, and 5.8S ribosomal RNA". The stretch from base 1 to 73 matches the Rfam family "Eukaryotic small subunit ribosomal RNA", at positions 1759 to 1831 of the family's 1831-position model. Lineage: Eukaryota; Fungi. The record is from RNAcentral.
ACAAACUUGGUCAUUUAGAGGAAGUAAAAGUCGUAACAAGGUUUCCGUAGGUGAACCUGCGGAAGGAUCAUUAGAAUUAAGAGUACUGCGCUCUUUUUUACUUGCUACCUUUGCCCGGAUUCUUUUUUUAAACCCCCGCGCAUGAAGCCACACGUGGGGGAAACUGGUUCGAUCGAGGUUGUGCACACACUUGGACCGACAGGUCUCGGUGAAUCUUGAAAAAGCCAGUAUGUGGGAAGGUCAUCAUCCUUUGGAGCGCUUGGGAUUGUUUGGAAUGUUUGACCCCUUGAAUCUUACCAGACUGAAUCUGUUCAAUGCCCGUCAAUGCUGAGCUGGACAAAUUUUGUUCAUUGAGCAGCAGGGAAGGGGUUGCGAACAACUAAAACAAAAUUAAACGAACAACUCUUAGCAACGGAUAUCUUGGUUCUCGCAUCGAUGAAGAACGCAGC